GUAACAAGGUCUCCGUAGGUGAACCUGCGGAGGGAUCAUUACACAAUAAAAUACGAAGGCCGUUCGCGGCUGGACUAUUUAUUACCCUUGUCUUUUGCGCACUUGUUGUUUCCUGGGCGGGUUCGCUCGCCACCAGGACCACAAUAUAAACCUUUUUUAUGCAGUUGCAAUCAGCGUCAGUAUAACAAAUGUAAAUCAUUUACAACUUUCAACAACGGAUCUCUUGGUUCUGGCAUCGAUGAAGAACGCAGCGAAAUGCGAUACGUAGUGUGAAUUGCAGAAUUCAGUGAAUCAUCGAAUCUUUGAACGCACAUUGCGCCCUUUGGUAUUCCAAAGGGCAUGCCUGUUCGAGCGUCAUUUGUACCCUCAAGCUUUGCUUGGUGUUGGGCGUUUUUGUCCCCCCCAAAAAGGGGACUCGCCUUAAAAGGAUUGGCAGCCGGCCUACUGGUUUCGCAGCGCAGCACAUUUUUGCGCUUGCAAUCAGCAAAAGAGGACGGCAAUCCAUCAAGACUCCUUCUCACGUUUGACCUCGGAUCAGGUAGGGAUACCCGCUGAACCUAAGCAUAUCA
Molecule: unclassified non-coding RNA, 569 nt
Filed under: Curvularia hawaiiensis
Lineage: Eukaryota; Fungi; Ascomycota; Dothideomycetes; Pleosporales; Pleosporaceae
Description: sequence contains 18S rRNA gene, ITS1, 5.8S rRNA gene, ITS2, 28S rRNA gene
Rfam family: 5.8S ribosomal RNA (bases 204-357)
Source: RNAcentral